This 253-nucleotide ribosomal RNA is filed under the name uncultured bacterium. RNAcentral's name for it is "partial 16S ribosomal RNA". It matches the Rfam family "Bacterial small subunit ribosomal RNA", at positions 524 to 776 of the family's 1533-position model. The record is from RNAcentral.
UACAGAGGUCUCAAGCGUUGUUCGGAUUCACUGGGCGUAAAGAGCUCGUAGGUGGUUUGUCGCGUUGUUCGUGAAAACUCACAGCUUAACUGUGGGCGUGCGGGCGAUACGGGCAGACUGGAGUACUGCAGGGGAGACUGGAAUUCCUGGUGUAGCGGUGGAAUGCGCAGAUAUCAGGAGGAACACCGGUGGCGAAGGCGGGUCUCUGGGCAGUAACUGACGCUGAGGAGCGAAAGCGUGGGGAGCGAACAGG